UUCUUUUCUAAUAAACAGGGAACAAAUGAUGUUCGUAAUUUGUAAAACACCUUAUAAUUUACUUUGCCUAAGAACUUUUUUAGAAAGAAAGAGAACACUAUCACAGUUUACAACACAGCUUUGGAACUUACGGCAUACGGGGAACGUUUUUGCAUUAAUUUCACACGCUCCAUGUUGAUGUGAGCAAACUAGUAGUGGGUAUCACGCUGUUGUGUUGACACCAUGAAUCACCCUUGCUGCGUAACCUGCGUUGUGGGCUGCAAGUCCUGCGAUUGGAGACAAGUGAAGAUACGACGCCGUGUGCCUGGGAAAGGCAGCAGGCUCAAUCAGUGGCUGUAGCGCAUUGAAUUGCCCGUUUUGAAUCGGCGGUGGGAUUUACACCUAUGCGGUCGCGAUUCCAACGAACGCGAUUCGGCAUUGAUGUGGAGAGGCAUCCCCUCAAAGACGCACUGCCGUCUUUGUUCCUUCCUGGUGAAAAAUGCCCAUCAAAGCAAGAGCACUGGAGUUCUAACGGUGGAAGAGCCCUUUCCCUGGGAACGAAAGUUCAUUGUGUUUGAGAGCUACCUUCGAGAACUCCUCAUUAACUGCACCAUAUGUGGCCAAGCAGUUGGCAACCUGAACUUCAGUGUCAUGGGAACUCUGGACGUUAUAGGGCGGGUGUGCGAGCGACUACACAAGCUCUGGUGGAGAAGCCAGCAACUUGUUCGAGGUAGUGGAGCUGGAGCCGGCAACUUCCUCCUGGCUGCUGGCAUGCUCUACUCAUGCUGUGUGGUGGCCACAACCAUCCGAUGCCUUGGUGCUCAGAUCAUCACGUAGUGUGCCUUCUACAACUACCAGAGGGCCUACUUGCUUCCUGCAGUAAAACAGCUCGCCCUCAAAAAACAAGCAGCCAUGGUGGAUACACUUGGUGAUUUGCUAAUUGACUUGGCAGGUGACGGGCGAUGUGACUUUCCUGGCUACAGCGCCAAGUAUCUCACGCACAGUGUGCUUGCCAGGCAGAAUGGCUGCAUUUUACACACUGAGCUGGUACAAGUCGGAAGUCACCAAAAGUCCUCUACAAUGUCUCCAUGGAAAAGGAAAGACUUGCUAAGUGCCUGACUGCUGCGGAGAAUCCAGACAUCCACAUACACUAGUUGACAAGUACCACAUGUUUGUGUGAAAUUCGCAAGCGAAUCUAAGAAACAUCAAGUUAAUAAAAGUUUGUCUUUAUGUGAAA
Rhipicephalus microplus (southern cattle tick) is the source of this 1216-nucleotide long non-coding RNA. NCBI's taxonomy places the organism in Eukaryota, Metazoa, Arthropoda, Arachnida, Ixodida, Ixodidae. The record is from RefSeq and is a predicted model, not a curated record.